RNAcentral lists this ribosomal RNA (501 nucleotides) under Pristimantis aureolineatus. RNAcentral describes it as "partial large subunit ribosomal RNA". It matches the Rfam family "Bacterial large subunit ribosomal RNA", at positions 1928 to 2592 of the family's 2925-position model. Lineage: Eukaryota; Metazoa; Chordata; Amphibia; Anura; Strabomantidae. The record is from RNAcentral.
CGGCCGCGGUAUCCUAACCGUGCUAAGGUAGCGUAAUCACUUGUCUUCUAAAUGAAGACUAGUAUGAAAGGCAUCACGAGGGCCAAGCUGUCUCCCCCCUCUAAUCAGUGAACCUAAUCUCCCCGUGAAGAAGCGGGGAUUUACAUAUAAGACGAGAAGACCCUAUGGAGCUUAAAACGAUAUAACACCUGCUCAGGCCCCCCCCAUUCAGAUUUUUUACCUCAGCACGCUAACUAUAGGUUUUUGGUUGGGGUGACCGCGGAGAAAAACUAAUCCUCCACAAUGAAAGGAGCCUUCCCCAACAAUAAGCUACAACUUUACAUUUCAAUAAAUUGACAUCCAUUGACCCAAUAUUUGAUCAACGAACCAAGUUACCCUAGGGAUAACAGCGCAAUCCACUUCAAGAGCCCCUAUCGACAAGUGGGCUUACGACCUCGAUGUUGGAUCGGGGGAUCCCAGUGGUGCAGCAGCUACUAAAGGUUCGUUUGUUCAACGAUUAAA